RNAcentral lists this unclassified non-coding RNA (22 nucleotides) under Mus musculus (house mouse). RNAcentral's name for it is "oocyte_clustered_small_RNA5190". The record is from RNAcentral. Lineage: Eukaryota; Metazoa; Chordata; Mammalia; Rodentia; Muridae.
UUCUAAAUCAGUGAAGCUAGUA